UCCCAUAAGCUUUUAUUGGUGAAGAAGUGGUGUCCCUCCCCCUUUUUAACUGUGUCCCUGGUUGGGGACUAUUUUCAAUAGCAACAUCCUUUUGGGAGGAUGCUGCUAGGGAUGAGUUUAAUUCCAUAUUAACAUCUACAGUCUUUUGGGAGACUGCAGAGUGGCCAGGCUGGUCAACACACACCUCUCCAUCCUUAUUCUUAGGGCUUCUUUUAUGUUCACCCUUUCC
Molecule: long non-coding RNA, 229 nt
Filed under: Daucus carota (carrot)
Lineage: Eukaryota; Viridiplantae; Streptophyta; Magnoliopsida; Apiales; Apiaceae
Description: long non-coding RNA (DCAR_LNC007426)
Source: RNAcentral